GACGAACGCUGGCGGCGUGCCUAAUACAUGCAAGUCGAACGCAGUGGGGACGGGUGAGUAACACGUGUGUAACCUCUCAUCAAAGGGGAUAAAACUUGGAAACAGGUGCUAAACCGAUAUUGAUGGAUGUACCCGCGGUGCAUUAGCUAGUUGGUGAGGUAACGGCUCACCAAGUCCACGAUGCAUAGCCGACCUGAGAGGAUGAUCAGCCACACUGGGACUGAGACACGGCCCAGACUCCUACGGGAGUCAUCAGUGGGGAAUCUUCGGCAAUGGACGAAAGUCUGACCGAGCAACGCCGCGUGAGUGAAGAAGGUUUUCGGAUCGGAAAGCUCUGUUGUUAGAGAGGCGGUAUCUAACCAGAAAGCCACGGCUAACUACGUGCCAGCAGCCGCGGUAAUUC
Molecule: ribosomal RNA, 403 nt
Filed under: uncultured bacterium
Lineage: Bacteria
Description: partial 16S ribosomal RNA
Rfam family: Bacterial small subunit ribosomal RNA
Source: RNAcentral